Molecule: ribosomal RNA, 554 nt
Filed under: Saltoblattella montistabularis
Lineage: Eukaryota; Metazoa; Arthropoda; Insecta; Blattodea; Blattellidae
Description: eukaryotic LSU rRNA
Rfam family: Eukaryotic large subunit ribosomal RNA
Source: RNAcentral
GGAGUCUAACAUGUGCGCGAGUCAUUGGGCAUUUCUAAACCCAGAGGCGCAGUGAAAGCGGGGCGAGUCCCUUCCGGGGGACUUCGCCGUGGGAGGAUGGAGUCGAGUUCACCGGCCCCCUUAAGGAAGGGCCGGCGGCUCCCGCACUCCCGGGGCGCCUCGGCUUCUAGCCGGAGGCGCACCCAGAGCGUACACGUUGGGACCCGAAAGAUGGUGAACUAUGCCUGGCCAGGACGAAGUCAGGGGAAACCCUGAUGGAGGUCCGCAGCGAUUCUGACGUGCAAAUCGAUCGUCAGAGCUGGGUAUAGGGGCGAAAGACUAAUCGAACCAUCUAGUAGCUGGUUCCCUCCGAAGUUUCCCUCAGGAUAGCUGGCACUCGUUUGGUGAGACGAGUCUCAUCCGGUAAAGCGAAUGAUUAGAGGCCUUGGGGCCGAAACGACCUCAACCUAUUCUCAAACUUUAAAUGGGUGAGAUCUCCGGCUUGCUUGAACACAUGUUUUGAAGCCGCGAGUUUCUCGAAUCUAGGAUCGGAGUUGCCAAGUGGGCCAUUUUUG